UACAAUUACAACUACAAUGAAAACAACAAAAAAUAAAAGACACAAAUACACACUCAAGACAAUCACUCAGAUACAUCAAAACCAAGAACAUCAAACUUGCAACACACAG
This is a long non-coding RNA of Pseudomyrmex gracilis, 109 nucleotides long. RefSeq lists it as uncharacterized. The transcript has 2 exons. Lineage: Eukaryota; Metazoa; Arthropoda; Insecta; Hymenoptera; Formicidae. The record is from RefSeq and is a predicted model, not a curated record.